RNAcentral lists this unclassified non-coding RNA (267 nucleotides) under plant metagenome. RNAcentral's name for it is "partial contains small subunit ribosomal RNA, internal transcribed spacer 1, and 5.8S ribosomal RNA". The record is from RNAcentral.
UUUCCGUAAGUGAACCUGCGGAAGGAUCAUUAUCGUACAAAAUGUGAGGGGCAUGCGAGGGCUGUCGCUGACCCAAAAGUCGUGCACGCCCGAGUGUGUCCUCUUGCAUAAUAAUCCAUCUCACCCUUUGUGCAUCACCGCGUGGGCACCCUUCGGGAUCAUCUCGGAGGGGGGCUCGCGGUUUCACACAAACCCCCCUUUUAAAAGUGUAGAAUGACCACAUUUAUGCAAUCAAUACAACUUUCAACAACGGAUCUCUUGGCUCUC